RNAcentral lists this transfer RNA (91 nucleotides) under Macrococcus hajekii. RNAcentral describes it as "tRNA-Ser". It matches the Rfam family "tRNA". Rfam says of the family: Transfer RNA (tRNA) molecules are approximately 80 nucleotides in length. The record is from RNAcentral. Lineage: Bacteria; Bacillati; Bacillota; Bacilli; Caryophanales; Staphylococcaceae.
UGGAGAUGUACUCAAGUUGGCUGAAGAGGCGCCCCUGCUAAGGGUGUAGGUCGGGAAACUGGCGCGAGAGUUCGAAUCUCUCCAUCUCCGU